Long non-coding RNA from Leopardus geoffroyi (Geoffroy's cat), 1810 nucleotides. RefSeq lists it as uncharacterized. NCBI's taxonomy places the organism in Eukaryota, Metazoa, Chordata, Mammalia, Carnivora, Felidae. The record is from RefSeq and is a predicted model, not a curated record. The transcript has 4 exons.
AAGGUGAUCCUCCGUUUGAUACAUGGUCAGAAGGUCCUAACACUACAUCACAACGCCUGUAUCCUUCACCUCACUACCUCUCACGUUAUCAUCUCCCAUCAUCACAAGGAGGAGAAGCUGCCCAAGACUGGAGGAACAUAACAUGGGAAGAAAAUGAGUGCAGUAAGAGAAGCUUAAGGGAAAACAAAAAUAAAACAAGGGAAAUAAAGGACUCCAGGACCUCUUAUUGUCUUCUCUUUUGGAACCAGAAGCCACCCUGUAUGGGGCACCUGAAUCUUGCCACUGACCUUCCUGUACCAGGCUCAAUCUUUCUCUCCGACCCUCUCAUCAUUUAAGGUAAAUGGAUGGAUGCACCGUAGCUGUUGUGGCUAUGUUGUGUUUUUCAUCCUCGAUUCCACAUUCGUGUCACUGUCAGGUUUCUUGACACAUGAGAGAAAGGAAUCUUCCACAACUCCUGGCUAAACAGAGGACCACUCUCUGCAUGAGUGUAGAGGAGGAUUAGACUGGGGAUGUGGCAGCCUCUUUACUUAGUGUAGUAAUGCUCUAAAUGAAAAUUUGAGUUUCCUGAAAUCACCAUUUUUUUUUUUUUUUUUUUUUUUUUGGUGGGGGGAGGAGGUCUAUACUUUUGCCAUUUGUUUUUAAGGUCGAUUAAUACUCUUUCUCACUUCCAGGCCUCUUUAACUGUUUUUCCUCCGCUUAGAAUGCACCCCCCCCAAGUUUUCAUAUAGCUAGUUCUUUUCUUAUCCUUCCCAGCUGCACCAGGGAAACAUUUGCUGGUACAUCCCUUUGGGAUACUAUAGCCGGACCCCAUCAGCAUCUAUUUCAACCUUCUACUGGUGAGCCUUCAUUUUUUUGAAGAGUUUAGAAAACUCAAAAAUAUACUUCUCUGCUCCCUUUGCGGCCAGCGUUCUAGCUUAGUUUUGGUUUCUUCAGUGAACUACAGGCAUACUUUGUUUUACUGCAUUUUGCAGACAUUGUGUUUGUCUGUUUUUUUAAACAGUUGAAGAUUAAUGGCAACCCUGCAUCGAGAAAUCUGUCAGCACCAUUUUUUCCUACAGCAUCUGCUCUCUUCAUGUCUCUGUGUCACAUUUUGGCCUCCCUAUUCCCCGAGACACAACAAUAUUGACAUGAGGUCAAUUAAUAACCCUGCAGUGCCGUCUAAGUGUUCAAGUGAAAGGAUGAGCUGCACAUCUCUCACUUGAAUAGAAAGGUAGAAAUGAUUAAGCUUAGUGAGCAAGGUAUGUCAAAAGCCACGGUAGGCCAAAAGCUAGGCCUCAUGCUCUAGUUAGCCAAGUUGAGAAUGAAAAGGAAAAGUUCUUGAAGGAAAGUAAAAGUGCUACUCCUGCGAAGGCACAAAUGAUAAGAAAGUGAAAUAGCCUUCUUGUUGAUAUGGAGAAAGCGUUAGCGGUCUGGAUGGAAGAUCAAACCAGCCACAACAUUACCUUAAAUCAAAGCCUAAUCCCAGAGCAAGACCUUAACUCUCUUCAGAUCUGUGAAGGCUGAGAGAGGUGAAGAAGCUGCAGAAGAAAAGUCUGAAGCUGGCAGAGGUUGGCUCAUGAGGUUUAAAGAAAGAAAAUUCUUCAUAACAUCAAGUGCAAGGUGAAGCAGCAAGUGCUGAUGUGGAAGCUGCAGGAAGUUCUCCAGAAGAUCUAGUGAAGAUAAUUAAUGAAGGUGGCUACACUAAACAACAGGUUUCCAAUAGAGAGGAAGCACCUUCUAUUGGAAGAAGAUGCCAUCUAGGACUUUCACAGCUAGAGACAAGUUAUUUGCAAAUAUCUUCUUCCAUUCAGUAGGCUGCCUUUUUGUUUUG